AGUUGCGAAGGCGGCUCUCUGGACUGUAACUGACGCUGAGGCACGAAAGCGUGGGGAGCAAACAGGAUUAGAUACCCUGGUAGUCCACGCUGUAAACGAUGAGUACUAGGUGUCGGGGGUUACCCCCCUCGGUGCCGCAGCUAACGCAUUAAGUACUCCGCCUGGGAAGUACGCUCGCAAGAGCGAAACCCAAAGGAAUUGACGGGGACCCGCACAAGUAGCGGAGCAUGUGGUUUAAUUCGAAGCAACGCGAAGAACCUUACCUAAGCUUGACAUCCCAAUGACAUCUCCUUAAUCGGAGAGUUCCCUUCGGGGACAUUGGUGACAGGUGGUGCAUGGUUGUCGUCAGCUCGUGUCGUGAGAUGUUGGGUUAAGUCCCGCAACGAGCGCAACCCUUGUCUUUAGUUGCCAUCAUUAAGUUGGGCACUCUAGAGAGACUGCCAGGGAUAACCUGGAGGAAGGUGGGGAUGACGUCAAAUCAUCAUGCCCCUUAUGCUUAGGGCUACACACGUGCUACAAUGGGUAGUACAGAGGGUUGCCAAGCCGUAAGG
RNAcentral lists this ribosomal RNA (551 nucleotides) under Clostridioides difficile. RNAcentral's name for it is "bacterial SSU rRNA". It matches the Rfam family "Bacterial small subunit ribosomal RNA", at positions 711 to 1262 of the family's 1533-position model. Lineage: Bacteria; Bacillati; Bacillota; Clostridia; Peptostreptococcales; Peptostreptococcaceae. The record is from RNAcentral.